UCCCGGGAGUGAUCCCAGAUCCUGGGAGUGAUUCCUGAUCCUGGGAGUGGUCCCAGAUCUUGGGGGUGAUUCCAGAUCCUGGGAGUGAUCCCGGAGUGAUCCCAGAUCCUGGGAAUGAUUCCUGAUCCUUGGGAGUGAUCCCGGGAGUGAUUCUGGGAGUGAUUCCUGAUACUGGGAGUGAUCCCAGAUCCUUGGGAGUGAUCCCAGGAGUGAUCCCAGAUCUUGGGGGUGAUUCCAGAUCCUGGGAGUGAUCCCGGAGUGAUCCCAGAUCUUGGGAGUGAUUCCUGAUCCUUGGGAGUGAUCCCAGAUCCUUGGGAGUGAUCCCAGGAGUGAUCCCAGAUCUUGGGGGUGAUUCCUGAUCCUGGGAGUGAUCCCGGGAGUGAUCCCAGAUCUUGGGGGUGAUUCCUGAUCCUGGGAGUGAUCCCGGGAGUGAUCCCAGAUCCUUGGGAGUGAUCCCAGAUCCCAGGAGUGAUCCUGGGAGUGAUCCCUGAUCCCAGGAAUGAUCCUGGAGUGAUCCUGGGAGUGAUCCCGGGGGUGAUUCCUAGUCCUGGGAGUGAUUCCUGAUCCUUGGGAAUGAUUCCUGAUCCCAGGAAUGAUCCUGGAGUGAUCCUGGGAGUGAUCCCAGAUCCUUGGGAGUGAUUCCCGGGAGUGAUUCCUGAUCCCAGGAGUGAUCCCGGGAGUGAUUCCUGUUCCCUGGGAAUUCCCAAUAUUCCCAGGUACCUGUGCCGUGUGGAGGAGACGCGUCAGUCGCUCAGGAUCCCCUCAAUUCCCGGUGUUUUUCCCAUUGUUAUUCCCAGUUUUUCCCGGUUUUAUUCCCGGUUUUUGCCAUUAUUCCGGUUGUCAUUCCGGUUGUUGUUCUGGUUGUUAUUCCCGUUAUUCCAGUUGUUGUUCCGGUUGUUGUCCCAGGUACCUGUGCCGGGUGGAGGAGAUGCGUCAGUCACUCAGGAUCCCGGGAAUUCCCGGUGUUACUCCCGUUGUUAUUCCCAUUGUCAUUCCUGGUUUUUCCCGGUUUUUCCCAUUAUUCCGGUUGUCAUUCCGAUUGUUGUUCCGGUUGUUCCGGUUGUUGUCCCAGGUACCUGUGCUGGGUGGAGGAGAUGCAUCAGUCGCUCAGGAUCCCCUGAAUUCCCGGUGUUUUUCCGGUUGUUAUUCCUGGUUUUUCCCGGUUUUUGCCAUUAUUCCGGUUGUCAUUCCGGUUGUUGUUCCGGUUGUUGUCGCAGGUACCUGUGCCGUGUGGAGGAGACGCGUCAGUCACUCAGGAUCCCCUGAAUUCCCGUGGUUAUUCCCGGUGUUAUUCCCGUUAUUCCGGUUGUUGUUCCGGUUGUUGUCGCAGGUACCUGUGCCGUGUGGAGGAGAUGCGUCAGUCGCUCAGGAUCCCCUGAAUUCCCGGU
This 1388-nucleotide long non-coding RNA is filed under the name Parus major (Great Tit). RNAcentral's name for it is "lncRNA (ENSPMJG00000001931.1)". The record is from RNAcentral. Lineage: Eukaryota; Metazoa; Chordata; Aves; Passeriformes; Paridae.